This 342-nucleotide ribosomal RNA is filed under the name Neotrevathana elongata. RNAcentral describes it as "Neotrevathana elongatum partial 12S ribosomal RNA". Lineage: Eukaryota; Metazoa; Arthropoda; Thecostraca; Balanomorpha; Pyrgomatidae. The record is from RNAcentral.
GUGUACACAAGAUAGAGCUCUCAUCAAGUCUUUAUAAACUUUACAAUUAAAUCCACCUUUAAAAGAUUUUUCAUAAUCUUUAUCCGUUUUAUUCUUAUAAAUGUAACCCACCUCUAUCUUUUAUAUAAGCUGCACCUUUACUUGAAGUAAAUGAACAUAUCAUUAAAGAAAGUUUUCUAAAAAAACUGACUGACAACAGCGGUAUACAAACUGAUUACAAAUAAAAGUAGAGUCUAUCGUGGUUCAUCGUUUAUAGGGCAGGUUCCUCUAAAUGGCUAUCUUGCCGCCAAAUCAGUUAAAUUUCAUUAAUAUUACUAUUCCAAAAUAUUUUAAUUAUAAGUA